AGGGCAGAAAAUACUCAAAAUAGGUGGCCAUUGGUCAGAUUGGAUUGGGUUCAUUGGGAGCUUGAAUUUUUACCAGAAACAGAGGGCAGAAAAUAGGUGGUCACUAGUCAGAUUGACAAAUUGGAUUGGGUCCAUUGGGAGAUUAGAUUUUUACCGGAAACACUGAGAUAGGCCUAUAGUUGGCUCAUUCUGACCAAAUGUUGCCGAUAUUCAAGAAUUAUUGACGCUUCAAAUUCUGGUGCCAUCAUCUUCAGUCUCCACCGUCACUGAUCAAGAAGCAAACUCAAGAUUUCACAAGUUUUUACCUUAAGUUUGAAGGGGUAUGUUAGAGAUGAUAUGUGGAUUGUCCUACAUUGCCCAAGUGAAGAGAAGUUUUGGCCAUUAGCUUGUAUAAAAGCCUCCACCAGAUUCGGAUCCCUUGGAAUUUCUAAGGAAAUUCUAGUUUCUGAAAUUUCAGAUUUAAGCUAUUCAUUUUCAUCUAAGAGUUAUUAUUCUGCCAUGUGUUACACUACUAAUAAAAUAAUAAUAAAUUUUUGAUGAUAUUAAUAAUCAUCAUUAUUUUAUUAUUUUAUUAGUAGUGAAACACGUGGCAGGAUAAUGGCUCUUAGUUGAAAAUAAAUAGUUUGAAUUUGAAAUUUUAAAAACUGGAAUUCCCCUAAGAAUUCCAAGGAUCCAAAACCCAUCCACUUGUCCCACAUUGCUAAGAUACAAGAAGCUUCUCUCCCUUUUAACUUCUAUAUAAUGAAGCUCUUAUAUACAAUCAUAUCAUUCAAUAAAAGUUAA
Non-coding RNA from Corylus avellana, 783 nucleotides. The record is from RefSeq and is a predicted model, not a curated record. NCBI's taxonomy places the organism in Eukaryota, Viridiplantae, Streptophyta, Magnoliopsida, Fagales, Betulaceae.